AAUGAACGCUGGCGGCAUGCCUUACACAUGCAAGUCGAACGGCAGCAUGACCUAGCUUGCUAGGUUGAUGGCGAGUGGCGAACGGGUGAGUAAUGCAUCGGAACGUGCCUUUUAGUGGGGGAUAACGUAGCGAAAGUUACGCUAAUACCGCAUAUUCUCUGAGGAGGAAAGCAGGGGACCUUCGGGCCUUGCGCUAGAAGAGCGGCCGAUGUCGGAUUAGCUAGUUGGUGAGGUAAAGGCUCACCAAGGCAACGAUCCGUAGCGGGUCUGAGAGGAUGAUCCGCCACAGGGGGACUGAGACACGGCCCAGACUCGUCGGGGAGGCAGCAGUGGGGAAUUUGGGACAAGGGGCGCAAGCCUGACCCAGCCAUGCCGGGGGAGAGAAGAAGGCCUUGGGGUGGAAAAGCUCUUUCGGCGGGGAAGAAAUCGCCCCCUCAAAAACGGGGGGUGGAUGACGGUACCAGAAAAAAAAGCACGGGCUAACUCCGGC
RNAcentral lists this ribosomal RNA (490 nucleotides) under uncultured bacterium. RNAcentral's name for it is "partial 16S ribosomal RNA". It matches the Rfam family "Bacterial small subunit ribosomal RNA", at positions 29 to 508 of the family's 1533-position model. The record is from RNAcentral.